Molecule: unclassified non-coding RNA, 202 nt
Filed under: Hevea brasiliensis (rubber tree)
Lineage: Eukaryota; Viridiplantae; Streptophyta; Magnoliopsida; Malpighiales; Euphorbiaceae
Source: RNAcentral
GAUGCACUAGAUCGCUCUGAGCCUAGAAGUCUGACAACUUACGAUUGGUUCUCUUUUUUUAUAUUUUAUUUUUUUCUUAUAAUAACAUUAAUGCCCCUGUCCCUCCAAUGCUUAAUUCUAUAGCAUCGUUUAUGGCUUUGGAUUAAAAUACUAAUUACAUGCGUGUUCUUGCAGGAUUGUGAUAAGUGCUUACUUGGAUUGU